CCUGGGGUAUGAUCUCACCGAACACGACGAUGCCGCUGGUGGAGGCUAUCACAGCACCAAACCCAGAGCCGAUCAGGUCGUCUAGCAGGAUGCUCCAUGGGGUCCAACGCCAUGAGCCCGAGGUUUAGCCCACUGAACAUACCUGACAGGACCAGGAGGCAGCAGAUGAGUAUGAUCUGAAGCCAGAGGGGCAGUAGACUCCCGGGCUCCUCAACCACCUGUAGCCAGCCGUCAGGUUUUCCCAAACGUCCACUUCUGCUUCAAGACUACUGCUCUUCCUGCUCGGUGAUUGGCCAUUUGGAUGUAUGAUGUCCACAGUGAAGCUGAUGGUUUUGGAUCG
Engraulis encrasicolus (European anchovy) is the source of this 340-nucleotide long non-coding RNA. RefSeq lists it as uncharacterized. Lineage: Eukaryota; Metazoa; Chordata; Actinopteri; Clupeiformes; Engraulidae. The record is from RefSeq and is a predicted model, not a curated record. The transcript is spliced from 3 exons.